Molecule: long non-coding RNA, 461 nt
Organism: Schistocerca gregaria
Lineage: Eukaryota; Metazoa; Arthropoda; Insecta; Orthoptera; Acrididae
Exons: 2
Source: RefSeq, a predicted model, not a curated record
UGGUGGUAGUCCACCUAAAGAUAAUAAAGAUAAGAAUAUUAUGAAUUUAAUUUCGGUUUUUAUAUUUCUGGCUGAAUAAAUUUGAUUUAUGAAAAAUAAAUUUAUUUGCUUAAAUAAUAAAACUAUAAUUAAUCUUAAUAGUGAGUAAAUAAUGAAGUAUAGUUCUCAGAUGUUUUCUCUGACUGUUAAUGAUCUAAUUAUUCAACCUAGAUGUCUGAUUGAUGAAUAUGCUAAAAGUUGUCGUAAGGAUGUUUGAUUUAAACCUCCUAUUACCCCAAUAAUAAUUCUUAAGAUAAUAAUUGUUCAAAUAAAAGUUCUUAAUUGAAUACAAUAAGAUAAGACCAUUAUUGGGGCGAUUUUUUGUCAUGUUAUUAAUGUUAAACAAUUAUUUCAUCUUGAUGCUCCUAUAACUUCUGGAAAUCAGAAAUGGAAAGGUGCAGCUCCAAUCUUUAAUAAUAGUA